This 389-nucleotide unclassified non-coding RNA is filed under the name plant metagenome. Its description in RNAcentral is "partial contains 5.8S ribosomal RNA, internal transcribed spacer 2, and large subunit ribosomal RNA". The stretch from base 1 to 102 matches the Rfam family "5.8S ribosomal RNA", at positions 50 to 154 of the family's 154-position model. The record is from RNAcentral.
GAAAUGCGAUAAUUCAGGUGAAUUGCAGCUGGCGUGAAUCCUUGAAAUUUUGAACGCACACUGUGGCCUAACUCGUUUUAGGCCGUGUUUGUUUGAGCGCCGCAUAAUAAUUACGGUAAGGUUCGUCCUGCCAGUUGGGUUCCAUAUCUGCUUCUUCUACUACUACUACUAGCAGCGGAUAAGUUACCUUAAAUUUGAAUCUGGUGAAGUUUUGACUGAUGUCUUUUCUUGGCCACCUCCUCUUUGUGAUUUAGAUUUUCUUGCACUCUGAGAUGUGGAAUAACAUGAUCUGACUGAUGGACAAACAGAAUCAUGAUGACCCCUUUUUUACAUAAUAAUAACUAAAACCUCGGCCUCAAAUCAAGCACGAUUACCCGCUGAAGUUAAGC